CUAACACAUGCAGAGUCGAAUGGUAACAGGAAACAGCUUGCUGUUUCGCUGACGAGUGGCGGACGGGUGAGUAAUGUCUGGGAAACUGCCUGAUGGAGGGGGAUAACUACUGGAAACGGUAGCUAAUACCGCAUAACGUCGCAAGACCAAAGAGGGGGACCUUCGGGCCUCUUGCCAUCAGAUGUGCCCAGAUGGGAUUAGCUAGUAGGUGGGGUAACGGCUCACCUAGGCGACGAUCCCUAGCUGGUCUGAGAGGAUGACCAGCCACACUGGAACUGAGACACGGUCCAGACUCCUACGGGAGGCAGCAGUGGGGAAUAUUGCACAACGGGCGCAAGCCUGAUGCAGCCAUGCCGCGUGUAUGAAGACGGCCUUCGGGUUGUAAAGUACUUUCAGCGGGGAGGAAGGGAGUAAAGUUAAUACCUUUGCUCAUUGACGUUACCCGCAGAAGAAGCACCGGCUAACUCCGUGCCAGCAGCCGCGGUAAUACGGAGGGUGCAAGCGUUAAUCGGAAUUACUGGGCGUAAAGCGCACGCAGGCGGAUAGUAAAGUCAGAUGUGAAAUCCCCGGGCUCAACCUGGGAACUGCAUCUGAUACUGGCAAGCUUGAGUCUCGUAGAGGGGGGUAGAAUUCCAGGUGUAG
This 642-nucleotide ribosomal RNA is filed under the name uncultured Pseudomonadota bacterium. RNAcentral's name for it is "bacterial SSU rRNA". It matches the Rfam family "Bacterial small subunit ribosomal RNA", at positions 48 to 678 of the family's 1533-position model. The record is from RNAcentral. Lineage: Bacteria; Pseudomonadati; Pseudomonadota.